RNAcentral lists this ribosomal RNA (216 nucleotides) under uncultured bacterium. RNAcentral's name for it is "partial 16S ribosomal RNA". It matches the Rfam family "Bacterial small subunit ribosomal RNA", at positions 118 to 351 of the family's 1533-position model. The record is from RNAcentral.
UGGGAACGUACCUUUUGGUUCGGAACAACCCAGAGAAACUUGGGCUAAUACCGGAUAAGUCCGUAAGGAGAAAGAUUUAUCGCCAAAAGAUCGGCCCGCGUCUGAUUAGCUGGUUGGUGAGGUAACGGCUCACCAAGGCGACGAUCAGUAGCUGGUCUGAGAGGAUGAUCAGCCACAUUGGGACUGAGACACGGCCCAAACUCCUACGGGAGGCAG